Molecule: ribosomal RNA, 253 nt
Filed under: uncultured bacterium
Lineage: Bacteria
Description: partial 16S ribosomal RNA
Rfam family: Bacterial small subunit ribosomal RNA
Source: RNAcentral
UACGUAGGGUGCGAGCGUUGUCCGGAAUUAUUGGGCGUAAAGAGCUUGUAGGCGGUCUGUCGCGUCUGCUGUGAAAAUCCGGGGCUCAACCCCGGACUUGCAGUGGGUACGGGCAGACUAGAGUGUGGUAGGGGAGACUGGAAUUCCUGGUGUAGCGGUGAAAUGCGCAGAUAUCAGGAGGAACACCGAUGGCGAAGGCAGGUCUCUGGGCCACUACUGACGCUGAGAAGCGAAAGCAUGGGGAGCGAACAGC